UGGGGAAUUUUGGACAAUGGGCGAAAGCCUGAUCCAGCAAUGCCGCGUGUGUGAAGAAGGCCUUCGGGUUGUAAAGCACUUUUGUCCGGAAAGAAAUCCUUGGCUCUAAUACAGUCGGGGGAUGACGGUACCGGAAGAAUAAGCACCGGCUAACUACGUGCCAGCAGCCGCGGUAAUACGUAGGGUGCAAGCGUUAAUCGGAAUUACUGGGCGUAAAGCGUGCGCAGGCGGUUUGCUAAGACCGAUGUGAAAUCCCCGGGCUCAACCUGGGAACUGCAUUGGUGACUGGCAGGCUAGAGUAUGGCAGAGGGGGGUAGAAUUCCACGUGUAGCAGUGAAAUGCGUAGAGAUGUGGAGGAAUACCGAUGGCGAAGGCAGCCCCCUGGGCCAAUACUGACGCUCAUGCACGAAAGCGUGGGGAGCAAACAGGAUUAGAUACCCUGGUAGUCCACGCCCUAAACGAUGUCAACUGUUGUUGGGGAUUCAUUCCUUAGUAACGUAGCUAACGCGUGAAGUUGACCGCCUGGGGAGUACGGUCGCAAGAUUAAAACUCAAUGAAUUGACGGGGUCAUAGCUGUUUCCU
Molecule: ribosomal RNA, 582 nt
Filed under: uncultured bacterium
Lineage: Bacteria
Description: partial 16S ribosomal RNA
Rfam family: Bacterial small subunit ribosomal RNA
Source: RNAcentral